AGUCAUUCUGCCCAUUGUAUUUAAAAGGCUGCAGUAUAUUAACUGUACAAAGGUAGCAAAAUAAAUAGUUUUUUAAUUGGAAACUUGAAUGAAAGAGUUGAUAAAAUAUAAAUUGUUUCAAAAAUUAAAUUUAAAUAGAAAGUAAAAAUGCUUUUAUUUACUUAUUAGACGAUAAGACCCUAAGAAUUUAAUAAUUUAAAUUAUUGAAAAAAAUUAUUUAUUUUUAAAUUAUUUUAUUGGGAGGAUAAUUGAAUAACUUUAAUUUUUAAAAAUAUAAAUAAAUAAAUUUAAUGAUUAAUUUUUUAAUUAAAAGAAUUAAUUACCUUAGGGAUAACAGCGUAAUAAUUUUGGAGAGUUCAUAUUAAUAAAAUUGUUUGCGACCUCGAUGUUGAAUUAAAAUAAAAAUUAAAUGUAGAUAUUUAAAUUUUUAGUCUGUUCGACUAUUAAAAUUUUAC
RNAcentral lists this ribosomal RNA (455 nucleotides) under Protopolybia emortualis. Its description in RNAcentral is "partial large subunit ribosomal RNA". The record is from RNAcentral. Lineage: Eukaryota; Metazoa; Arthropoda; Insecta; Hymenoptera; Vespidae.